CCGCAUCCCCGGGGGAGCGCUGUGACGGCGCUUGAGAGGGCGGCACGAGCCGUCGACCCGCUGAACCUGAUCCGGUUAAGACCGGCGGAGGGAGGGAAGCGGUCUUCGCC
The sequence is a regulatory RNA element, 110 nucleotides long. It matches the Rfam family "TPP riboswitch aptamer (THI element)". Rfam says of the family: Vitamin B(1) in its active form thiamin pyrophosphate (TPP) is an essential coenzyme that is synthesised by coupling of pyrimidine and thiazole moieties in bacteria. The record is from Rfam.